RNAcentral lists this ribosomal RNA (404 nucleotides) under Bacillota bacterium. RNAcentral's name for it is "Firmicutes bacterium partial 16S ribosomal RNA". It matches the Rfam family "Bacterial small subunit ribosomal RNA", at positions 355 to 776 of the family's 1533-position model. The record is from RNAcentral. Lineage: Bacteria; Bacillati; Bacillota.
UGGGGAAUAUUGGACAAUGGGCGAAAGCCUGAUCCAGCAAUGCCGCGUGAGUGAUGAAGGCCUUAGGGUUGUAAAGCUCUUUUACCCGGGAUGAUAAUGACAGUACCGGGAGAAUAAGCCCCGGCUAACUCCGUGCCAGCAGCCGCGGUAAUACGGAGGGGGCUAGCGUUGUUCGGAAUUACUGGGCGUAAAGCGUACGUAGGCGGCUUUGUAAGUUAGAGGUGAAAGCCCGGGGCUCAACUCCGGAAUUGCCUUUAAGACUGCAUCGCUAGAAUCAUGGAGAGGUGAGUGGAAUUCCGAGUGUAGAGGUGAAAUUCGUAGAUAUUCGGAAGAACACCAGUGGCGAAGGCGACUCACUGGACAUGUAUUGACGCUGAGGUACGAAAGCGUGGGGAGCAAACAGG